CCCGCAGGGAGUUCGAAGGCUCCGAGGCUGCUCCCAUACGCACUGGUGGAAGGAGAGGCCGCGCUCCCGGCUGAGCACGGUGUCACGGGUGCUGCAGCCCACUGCGGAGCAACUUCGGGUCAUCUUCUUGUUACGUGGGGCCCCACCUUCGGGGUUCCCGCGACAGCAUGAAUCACGACCACUUUAGCUCCGCCCGUUGACUGCGGCUACGACCUUUAUUUGUCAGGAAAGGCGGGCUUUAGAGGCGCGGGACUUCCACACUUCCUCUCCGAAGGCCCUGCGCCGGUACCGUAGCCAAUCACAGGCCACGUUGUGUCGCAGCAGCCAAUCGGAAGGGCCUGAGCCUGAAGACGUGCACUUGACCGCUCCUCCUUCCGCGUUGGAGGCCCAAUAGUGGGUUUUGCUGCCACCGGUUCAUUUUCCUUCUGUUUUCACCCAUUCUGGCACAAUCCGCCGCCAUCGUCGUUCUUUGUGAGACCGAGCCUGAAAAUGCGAAGCAGAGAGGCAGGACCAAAAUUGAGGCGAAUCCGGGAACCUGCCAAUGGGUCUCUGGAUGCGUUCUCUGAAACUGGAGGAUAUCGGGAAGAAAGGCUCUCCGAUGCGGAGAUAAUGCGGAAACUCUUGGCAUGGUUGGCAGUAGGUACCUGAUACGGGAGGAGCGGGAGUCAAAUAGGAUACGCCCACUUUUAAUUCGAGGAACUCUUCUGAAACACUGCCACAAUGAAGGACAUAAGGAGUCAUGCUCAGAGAUGUCAAGAAAAGAUACAUGGGUCUUGGAAGAUAAUUACUCAAAAUAUGCAGGUAGUAUAUUUUUCUAUUCUAAAUGUGUUAAGUAUUCCUGGAACUAUAGCAGUGAGUUGGAAAUGGAGGAUUGUCCAAGUAAAAAACAUUUAUAAAGGAUUUGAUGAAAUCUAAUUAUUUUAUGGUAUAGAAUCUUAUUAAUUGUCCACUUGGAAAGAAUAAUAACAAAUUAUUUAUUGGCCCAUUACUAUGGGCCACACAUUAUGCUGAGCUUUUUAUUAUUUUAUUUUAUUUUUUUGAGAUGGGGUCUCACUCUGUCACCCAGGCUGGAGUGCAGUGGCACAAUCUCAGCUCACUGCAACCUCUGUCUUCCAGGCUCAAGCAAUCUUCCCACCUCAGCCUCCUAAGUAGCUGGGACCAUAGGCAUGUACCACUACACCUGGCUAAUUUUUUUUUGUAUUUUUGGUAGAGACAGGGUUUUGCUGUGUUGCCCAGGUUGCUAAGCUUUUUAUAUAGAGUAUAUAGAAAGAGUUGGUUUUCUUAAACACUGUUUAUUUCUUAUAAUAGCUAUGAAAGCAGAUACAGACUUCUUGCUUUCUAGGGUUGGUAUCUUGCUUGUUGAGCACCUAUCCCUUUUGUCUUGCCAAAUUUUUCAUUGUUUGAGUUCUGUCUUUUGUUUCAGAAAGCCAUGGAGUUUUGAAAUUAUUGUUAAAUCAUUAUUUGUUACAUAAUUAUUUCUACUUCUAGAAUCUCAUGCUAACUUGGAAGUGUCUUCUCAGCAUCAAGCCUGAUAUAGAGGGGCAGCUACACCCUAAUGUACUCCAAAACUAGUUAUGCUUUGUUUUAUACGUAAUGCUUCUAUUAUUAGACAAGUGGUUUCCAACUAUUAGAAGCAGUGCUAAGA
Non-coding RNA from Chlorocebus sabaeus (green monkey), 1645 nucleotides. Lineage: Eukaryota; Metazoa; Chordata; Mammalia; Primates; Cercopithecidae. The record is from RefSeq and is a predicted model, not a curated record.